GGGGAAUUUUGGACAAUGGGGGAAACCCUGAUCCAGCCAUGCCGCGUGCAGGAUGAAGGCCUUCGGGUUGUAAACUGCUUUUGUACGGAACGAAAAGGUCUUUUCUAAUAAAGAAGACUCAUGACGGUACCGUAAGAAUAAGCACCGGCUAACUACGUGCCAGCAGCCGCGGUAAUACGUAGGGUGCAAGCGUUAAUCGGAAUUACUGGGCGUAAAGCGUGCGCAGGCGGUUAUAUAAGACAGAUGUGAAAUCCCCGGGCUCAACCUGGGAACUGCAUUAGUGACUGUAUAGCUAGAGUGCGGCAGAGGGGGAUGGAAUUCCGCGUGUAGCAGUGAAAUGCGUAGAUAUGCGGAGGAACACCGAUGGCGAAGGCAAUCCCCUGGGCCUGCACUGACGCUCAUGCACGAAAGCGUGGGGAGCAAAC
This 425-nucleotide ribosomal RNA is filed under the name uncultured bacterium. Its description in RNAcentral is "bacterial SSU rRNA". It matches the Rfam family "Bacterial small subunit ribosomal RNA", at positions 356 to 773 of the family's 1533-position model. The record is from RNAcentral.